RNAcentral lists this ribosomal RNA (253 nucleotides) under uncultured bacterium. RNAcentral's name for it is "partial 16S ribosomal RNA". It matches the Rfam family "Bacterial small subunit ribosomal RNA", at positions 524 to 776 of the family's 1533-position model. The record is from RNAcentral.
UACGUAGGGUGCAGGCGUUAAUCGGAAUUACUGGGCGUAAAGCGUGCGCAGGCUGUUUGCUAAGACAGGUGUGAAAUCCCCGGGCUUAACCUGGGAACUGCGCUUGUUACUGGCAGGCUUGAGUGUGGCAGAGGGGGGUGGAAUUCCACGUGUAGCAGUGAAAUGCGUAGAGAUCGGGAGGAACACCAGAGGCGAAGGCGGCGGCCUGGACAGUUACUGACACUCAACUACGAAAGCGUGGGGAGCAAACAGG